GACGAACGCUGGCGGCGUGCUUAACACAUGCAAGUCGAACGGUAAACCUGCUUCGGUGUGGGAUCCUUGGCUAACGAGUGAGUAACACGUGGGCAACCUGCCCUCCGCUCUGUUUUAACUCCCUUCAAUUAGCUCUAGUUCUUGCUAUGACCGCUCUCCUCCUGCUCUGGUGGUGGUAGGAUUUAUCGGCUGGGGAUGGUCCCGCGGCCUAUCAGCUUGUUGGUGGGGUAGUGGCCUACCAAGGCGACGACGGGUAGCCGGCCUGAGAGGGUGACCGGCCACACUGGGACUGAGACACGGCCCAGACUCCUACGGGAGGCAGCAGUGGGGAAUAUUGCGCAAUGGGCGAAAGCCUGAUGCAGCGACGCCGCGUGGGGGAUGACGGCCUUCGGGUUGUAAACCGCUUUCAGCAGGGACGAAGCGAAAGUGACGGUAACGGGAGAAGAAGCACCGGCUAACUACGUG
Molecule: ribosomal RNA, 465 nt
Filed under: uncultured bacterium
Lineage: Bacteria
Description: partial 16S ribosomal RNA
Rfam family: Bacterial small subunit ribosomal RNA
Source: RNAcentral